GAAGAAGGAUAAUAAUAGCGGAGAAGAAACGAAUGCACCACGUCUCCGAAUCUUGGCCGUGAGAUAAUGGAGGACGCCAGGAAGAACACGCGAAGAGCACCAUCAUCUUCUCUUCUCCUUCACCAUUGCCUCCCUACGCUACUCUUUUCUGUCUCCUCUAGCUUCAAUUCUUGACCUAGUAUUACCAAAACUAUGGCAGAGCCCUCAGGACGAAGUCUUGCCGAUGAUGAAUACGAUAACCCAGAGGAGUUCCAAUGGAAGGAUGCGGAUGUGAGCUCUUCGACAGCAGAAACCUCUGUUUCUGCACAGGUGCUGGAUUUGAUGCGCCGCGGCAAUAGAGCCUUCCGGGAGAAACGAAUUGAAGAGGCUAUUUCUUGUUACUCCAAAGCUCAACUUUUAAAACCUGGAGAUCCUGUGAUCCUAAUCAAUAGAAGCGCUGCUUUCUCUAGGAUCAGCCAACUCUUGAGAGAGAGAUCUGCAACUGCAUCAGAGUAUCAACCAUUGAACGGUUUAGAUCCAACAACUCAUGCAGAGCUUGCAUUAAAGGAUGCUGAUAAAGUUAUAAGUAUUCAGAGUAAUUCUCCCAAACCAUAUUUGCUGAAGGCCAAAGCACUGAUUUCGCUUGAACGCUAUGAAGAGGCACGAGAAGCACUACUUACUGGCCUUCAAAUUGAUCCUCUGAGCCAUCAUGCCAAGAAUAGUCUUCAGAAUUUGGAUAAGGUCAUCUCUGGUUCAGCUAAGAGGUUUAAACUGUGGAAACCACAGAGAACCGAUGAUUUUGAAUGCACGUUAUGCCUAAAGCUAUUAUUUGAGCCUGUUACUACUCCAUGUGGGCAUUCUUUUUGCCGCUCGUGUCUACUUCAGACUAUGGAUCAUGGUAACAAGUGUCCCAUGUGCCGCAUGGUCCUAUUUAUCAGCCCCAGAACAUAUCCUAUUAGCGUGACUCUGAAUAAUAUUAUACAGAAAAACUUCCCUGAGGAAUAUGCUGAGAGGAAGCUGGAGCAUGCGAAUUUAACAUAUGGGGGGACCGACAUAUUGCCUCUUUUUGUUAUGGAUGUUGUCCUUCCAUGCCAAAAGUUGUCUCUUAAUAUAUUUGAACCGCGUUAUAGAUUGAUGGUGAGGAGAAUAAUGGAGGGAAAUCAUCGCAUGGGAAUGGUGAUCAUAGAUUCUACAACAGGUGCAAUUGCUGAUUAUGCCUGUGAAGUGGAAAUUCUCGAGUGUGAACCGCUACCUGAUGGGCGGUUUUACUUGGAGGUUGAAGGUCGCCGUCGAUUUCAUAUCUUACGAUCAUGGGAUCAAGAUGGGUAUCGGGUAGCAGAAGUUGAAUGGGUUCAAGAUGUACUCCCCUUAGAGGGAUCACAAGAGAGGGAAGAUCUACAGCAAAUGGCUAGUGAGGCGUCAGAGCUGGCUCAAACAUGGAUAAGAAACGCAAGAGAAGCUGCAAGAAUAGGUAGGAGAGCAAGGCGCUUGGAAGUUCUUCAAGCUGAUGGAGUGCCUGGAGCUCGGGAUCCUGAGAAAUUUAGUUUUUGGCUUGUGAAUCUUCUUAACCUGAGGCCAUCUGAGAGGCUGAACAUAUUACGAUUGAGAGAUACAAGAGAGAGGAUUUCCUGUGGACUUGACUUUCUGAGGAGGACUGAAGAACAGGGCUGCCAAGUCCAGUAAAAAUUAAGGAUUAGUUUGGGAUGGCUUUUUUAUUACUUCUUAAAGCUGUUUUUUAGUGCAAAAAUUAAAAUUUAUGUACUAGAAAGCUGCUUUAAGAAGCAGUAAGAAAACCGUCUCAAACAAAACUUAAGUUUUUGAACUAAUAUUGCCAUUCAUGAUCAUCUGGAUGGUGAGGAAAAGCUGAGAAAUUAUAUGUAUCUUUUAAAUGUAAGCCUCAAUUAAGUAUUUUUUGUGAUCACUUUUUAGUUUGUUUUCCUUUCUUUAUCUCAAUAAUUUCUAUGUUCUUCAAAUCUGUAUUAAGCUGAUCAGCACAAAUGAUAGAAUGUGAAAGAAAACUUGCUACAUUUGCCUUUUACCAACA
Molecule: RNA transcript, 2023 nt
Organism: Dendrobium catenatum
Lineage: Eukaryota; Viridiplantae; Streptophyta; Magnoliopsida; Asparagales; Orchidaceae
Gene name: LON peptidase N-terminal domain and RING finger protein 1
Exons: 19
Source: RefSeq, a predicted model, not a curated record